Molecule: ribosomal RNA, 576 nt
Filed under: uncultured bacterium
Lineage: Bacteria
Description: bacterial SSU rRNA
Rfam family: Bacterial small subunit ribosomal RNA
Source: RNAcentral
CCUACGGGAGGCAGCAGUGAGGAAUAUUGGACAAUGGGCGCAAGCCUGAUCCAGCCAUGCCGCGUGCAGGAAGACGCAUCUAUGGUGUGUAAACUGCUUUUGUACGGGAAGAAACACUCCUACGUGUAGGAGCUUGACGGUACCGUAAGAAUAAGGAUCGGCUAACUCCGUGCCAGCAGCCGCGGUAAUACGGAGGAUCCAAGCGUUAUCCGGAAUCAUUGGGUUUAAAGGGUCCGUAGGCGGUUUGAUAAGUCAGUGGUGAAAGCCCAUCGCUCAACGAUGGAACGGCCAUUGAUACUGUCAGACUUGAAUUAUUAGGAAGUAACUAGAAUAUGUAGUGUAGCGGUGAAAUGCUUAGAUAUUACAUGGAAUACCAAUUGCGAAGGCAGGUUACUACUAAUGGAUUGACGCUGAUGGACGAAAGCGUGGGGAGCGAACAGGAUUAGAUACCCUGGUAGUCCACGCCGUAAACGAUGGAUACUAGCUGUUCGGAGCAAUCUGAGUGGCUAAGCGAAAGUGAUAAGUAUCCCACCUGGGGAGUACGUUCGCAAGAAUGAAACUUAAAGGAAUUGACGG